UUAAUUGAAACCAAAAAGAGGUUUAUCACUGUUAAUGAUAUUAAUGAUUAUUAUCCAAUUAAA
This 63-nucleotide transfer RNA is filed under the name Cassida sp. EMHAU-15090501. Its description in RNAcentral is "tRNA-Asn". The record is from RNAcentral. Lineage: Eukaryota; Metazoa; Arthropoda; Insecta; Coleoptera; Chrysomelidae.